Molecule: long non-coding RNA, 1142 nt
Organism: Rhododendron vialii
Lineage: Eukaryota; Viridiplantae; Streptophyta; Magnoliopsida; Ericales; Ericaceae
Exons: 2
Source: RefSeq, a predicted model, not a curated record
UGUUGAAUUUCAUGUUUUGGAGGCCGAAUUCAUACCUAGAAUAGUUGGGUUCGAGUUGUAUGUGUUGGAGUUCUUAGAGAAAUCAAGAACCUAGACUUGAAUCUCAUGAGUUUGAUGCUUAGAACAUGAAUUGAUUCUUGUAUUUGAUAGUUCUUGCGAUGCCCUUUGUUAUAUAUGAGUUUGAGCAUGAUUUAGUGUGGUUUUGAUGAAUUUUAGAUGUGAUUUGAGUAAAGAAAAGAUUGAAAGUCGGAGAAGAACAAGCUGAAUUUUCGUUGAAAACCUAGGUGGUAGCAGUACCAAGUUUGGGGUGGUACCGGUACCCAAAUCUCUGGAUUUUGGUUUUCCCAGUUGGUACCGGUACCAAGUUUUUUGUGGUACAGGUACUAGUCAGACAAGUGAACUUCGAACAAGCAUAACUUUUUCAUCCUGACUCCGUUUUGGGCAAAAUUUAUAUCGAAAUUGAUGUACUGAAAACGUACUUUUUAAUGGUGGUAGUUUCAUGACCUAAUUCUAAUCCUAAAAGAAGAAAUGGUCAGAAUAUGGUGGAAUAGUUAUUGAAUUCUUUACUGAUUUUGGGGUUAUGUUAUGAUUAAGUGCUAUGCUUGCUUGGGGACACUUAGAGGUCUUUGAGAUGAUAUGUUUAAGUUCGUUGAACAUUGUUUAAUACUUUGUUAGCUCUAUAACUUGAUAUCAAAUGGUUGUAAAAUGGAUUAGGGGAUGUUUGGUGGCCUUGUUAACCUUUGGGCAUGCGUUAACAUGGUAAAAGUGUUAUGGGGUGUUAUCAUAUAUUUAAUUAAACAUUCCAAGGGAUUCAUAUGCUGAUAUGGUUAGCUUGUGGCUAGGUAACAAGCCGGUCAAAUGGGAGGUGCCGAAACCGUAAGUUUGGUGUACCUUGAUCAAUUCAAAGAUAGCAGGUGGCUUAGAGUGAGUCCACUACCGGUUAAUGUGUUGGGGUGUAUUUGGAUUAGCUUCGAGUGUUGUUGAUGAACGAGCUGGUCUAUAGAUAAUGAAUCUAGAAGUUGAAGUUGAAGUUGAUUUUGUAUAUAUUGUAACUAAGGGAUUUUGAAUGUUUAAGUUAUAUGGGUUUCAUAUAAGUUGUUCGGUUGUUGAGGUUCUGUAAUAGAAAGAUGUGAUUCGCGUUA